GCUAUGGGAAGGGACGUCUUGCACUAGGUUGGCUUGCUCAAAGCCCUGUCCAACCUGAAUUUGAACACUUUCAGGACAAAAACUAGGCUGGAUUAGGUCCUUCGGAUAUUUUCUGCAUUAAGGCUUGAGUCACAGAGCAGCGUGAGGAUUUAGACUUCUGAAGUAGGAGUGUGAAUGGGAUUGAAGGAUUUACAUGGAGGAUUCUGAACUCCUCUCCUUCCUGCUCCAGGAAAGACAGGGCCCUGCCCUGAGACCCAUGGGUAUGAUCCAUGUGUGCUACUGAGGCUGACUCGAACGGUGUGACAA
This is a long non-coding RNA of Aquila chrysaetos chrysaetos, 306 nucleotides long. RefSeq lists it as uncharacterized. NCBI's taxonomy places the organism in Eukaryota, Metazoa, Chordata, Aves, Accipitriformes, Accipitridae. The transcript has 3 exons. The record is from RefSeq and is a predicted model, not a curated record.